RNAcentral lists this ribosomal RNA (737 nucleotides) under uncultured bacterium. Its description in RNAcentral is "bacterial SSU rRNA". It matches the Rfam family "Bacterial small subunit ribosomal RNA", at positions 155 to 925 of the family's 1533-position model. The record is from RNAcentral.
AACCGGCGCUAAUACCGCAUAAUCCCGAGAGGGCAAAGGAGCAAUUCGCUUCAGGAGGAGUCCGCGGCCGAUUAGCUAGUUGGCAGGGUAAAAGCCUACCAAGGCAACGAUCGGUAGCCGGCCUGAGAGGGCACACGGCCACACUGGCACUGAAACACGGGCCAGACUCCUACGGGAGGCAGCAGUGGGGAAUCUUGCACAAUGGGGGCAACCCUGAUGCAGCGACGCCGCGUGAGCGAUGAAGCCCUUCGGGGUGUAAAGCUCUUUCGGCAGGGAAGAUUAUGACGGUACCUGCAGAAGCAGCUGCGGCUAACUACGUGCCAGCAGCCGCGGUAAUACGUAGGCAGCAAGCGUUGUUCGGAGUUACUGGGCGUAAAGGGUGUGUAGGCGGCCUUCUAAGUUUGGUGUGAAAUCUCCCGGCUCAACCGGGAGGGUGCGCCGAAGACUGGGGGGCUAGAGUAUGGGAUGGGAGAGUAGAAUUUCCGGUGUAGCGGUGAAAUGCGUAGAUAUCGGAAGGAAUACCUGUGGUGUAGACGGCUCUCUGGACCAUAACUGACGCUGAGACACGAAAGCGUGGGUAGCAAACAGGAUUAGAUACCCUGGUAGUCCACGCCCUAAACGAUGCAUAUUUGGUGUGGGCCAUCCAUUUGGUCCGUGCCGGAGCUAACGCGUUAAAUAUGCCGCCUGGGGAGUACAGUCGCAAGGCUGAAACUCAAAGGAAUUGACGGAAUCGAAUU